RNAcentral lists this ribosomal RNA (392 nucleotides) under uncultured eukaryote. RNAcentral's name for it is "partial 18S ribosomal RNA". It matches the Rfam family "Eukaryotic small subunit ribosomal RNA", at positions 592 to 976 of the family's 1831-position model. The record is from RNAcentral.
CAAUAGCGUAUACUAAAGUUGUUGCGAUUAAAAAGCUCGUAGUUGGAUCUCAGGCAUGGGCGCACGGUCCGCCUCGCGGCGGUCACUGGGUGUUUUGUUUCCCAUCCUACGCUUCCCGGUUAUCAGCCCAUGGUGCUCUUCACUGAGCGUUUUGGGUGGCCGGAACGUUUACUUUGAAGAAAUUAGAGUGUUCAAAGCAGGCACGUCGCCUGAAUAAUGGUGCAUGGAAUAAUGGAAUAGGACCUCGGUUCUAUUUUGCUGGUUUUCGGAACACGAGGUAAUGAUUAAGAGGGACAGACGGGGGCAUCCGUAUUGCGGUGUUAGAGGUGAAAUUCUUGGAUCAUCGCAAGACGAACAACUGCGAAAGCAUUUGCCAAGCAUGUUUUCAUUAG